GUCCCUUUGGGUACAUUCAAUAAAAUUAAAACGAUAUAGAGAAGAUUAACAUAGUGUCUGCGCAAGAAUGACAUGCACAAAUCGAAAAAUGGUUCAAUUUUUU
Non-coding RNA from Solanum lycopersicum (tomato), 103 nucleotides. Lineage: Eukaryota; Viridiplantae; Streptophyta; Magnoliopsida; Solanales; Solanaceae. The record is from Rfam.